UACGUAGGUCGCAAGCGUUGUCCGGAUUUACUGGGCGUAAAGAGCGCGCAGGCGGCUGGCCAAGUCCGAUGUGAAAUCUCCCGGCUUAACCGGGAAACUGCAUCGGAAACUGGUCGGCCUGAAGGUGGGAGAGGGUAGCGGAAUUCCCGGUGUAGUGGUGAAAUGCGUAGAUAUCGGGAGGAACACCAGUGGCGAAGGCGGCUACCUGGCCCAUUCUUGACGCUGAGGCGCGAAAGCUAGGGGAGCGAACGGG
This 253-nucleotide ribosomal RNA is filed under the name uncultured bacterium. RNAcentral's name for it is "partial 16S ribosomal RNA". It matches the Rfam family "Bacterial small subunit ribosomal RNA", at positions 524 to 776 of the family's 1533-position model. The record is from RNAcentral.